This is a non-coding RNA of Anolis sagrei ordinatus, 211 nucleotides long. Lineage: Eukaryota; Metazoa; Chordata; Lepidosauria; Squamata; Anolidae. The record is from RefSeq and is a predicted model, not a curated record.
CCAAAAUAGCAAGGGAGAGAGAGAGAGAGAGAGAGAGAGAGGGAGCAACCCCUCCAGGAAGCUGCUUGAAUUGGAGCCCAGCUUUGGAGACAUUUUGCAAGCAGUUUGUCCAGAUGCCCUUUCUAUGCGAGAGAGAGAGAGAGAGACGCCAAGUCAAGAUUUGCAGUCAAGAUAAAAAUAGAGGAACAGAACACAAUUGGGCAAGAUCUGG